CUUCAACCUAGAGAAGAAUAUAGUUCCCUUCUUGCUGUGCCUUCAACCUAGAGAAGAAUAUAGUUCCCUUCUUGCUGUGCCUUCAACCUAGAGAAGAAUAUAGUUCCCUUCUUGCUGUGCCUUCAACCUAGAGAAGAAUAUAGUUCCCUUCUUGCUGUGCCUUCAACCUAGAGAAGACUAUAGUUCCCUUCUUACUGAGCAUCCUUGUCUGCUGAAGAAUAGAGGUUCUAUUUUGCUGUGUCUUUGUCCACAGAGGAAUAGAGGUUCUGUCUGCAUGUAUCUUUGUUCACAGAGGAAUAGAGAUGACCAUGCUGUAUUAUUGUCAACAGAACCAUAGGGCUCCUUCUUGCUGUCUUUUUACCCAGAGAG
This is a long non-coding RNA of Haliotis rubra (blacklip abalone), 369 nucleotides long. RefSeq lists it as uncharacterized. The transcript has 3 exons. The record is from RefSeq and is a predicted model, not a curated record. NCBI's taxonomy places the organism in Eukaryota, Metazoa, Mollusca, Gastropoda, Lepetellida, Haliotidae.